UCACCUGCUCCACGCCCCCUCAUGUUCUCUCUCACUCUUUUCGUUCCAUAUCAGACACUCCUCUUCCAAGUUGAUUGCUCCCUUCGUGCAGCAGAAAUUCUUCCACCGUAACUUCCCUGCAAAUCUUUACCUUCACUCAAUCUUCUAUCUAUCUUGGUUUGCGAACCCAGAGGAGUUCUAGGAAGUUUCCUACCCAUCACCCAAUCUACUACCCACUACCCACAACCCGCAAACAUAACCCGAGGUCGUGAGCAGCAGUAGCCGCGAAGCAGACAUCGGAGACAUGGGUGACCUGACCACGGAUCAUGUAUAAUUAUUUAUUACGAUACACUUAUAUUCGGAGAAACGAUUUUGUGUUAUAUCGGUGGUAG
Long non-coding RNA from Tarenaya hassleriana, 371 nucleotides. RefSeq lists it as uncharacterized. The transcript is spliced from 3 exons. The record is from RefSeq and is a predicted model, not a curated record. NCBI's taxonomy places the organism in Eukaryota, Viridiplantae, Streptophyta, Magnoliopsida, Brassicales, Cleomaceae.